This 1445-nucleotide ribosomal RNA is filed under the name uncultured organism. RNAcentral describes it as "SSU rRNA". It matches the Rfam family "Bacterial small subunit ribosomal RNA". The record is from RNAcentral.
GGCUUAACACAUGCAAGUCGAGGGGCAGCAUGGUCUUAGCUUGCUAAGGCCGAUGGCGACCGGCGCACGGGUGAGUAACACGUGUCCAACCUGCCGUCUACUCUUGGACAGCCUUCUGAAAGGAAGAUUAAUACAAGAUGGCAUCAUGAGUCCACAUGUUCACAUGAUUAAAGGUAUUCCGGUAGACGAUGGGGAUGCGUUCCAUUAGAUAGUAGGCGGGGUAACGGCCCACCUAGUCUUCGAUGGAUAGGGGUUCUGAGAGGAAGGUCCCCCACAUUGGAACUGAGACACGGUCCAAACUCCUACGGGAGGCAGCAGUGAGGAAUAUUGGUCAAUGGGCGAGAGCCUGAACCAGCCAAGUAGCGUGAAGGAUGACUGCCCUAUGGGUUGUAAACUUCUUUUAUAAAGGAAUAAAGUCGGGUAUGCAUACCCGUUUGCAUGUACUUUAUGAAUAAGGAUCGGCUAACUCCGUGCCAGCAGCCGCGGUAAUACGGAGGAUCCGAGCGUUAUCCGGAUUUAUUGGGUUUAAAGGGAGCGUAGAUGGAUGUUUAAGUCAGUUGUGAAAGUUUGCGGCUCAACCGUAAAAUUGCAGUUGAUACUGGAUAUCUUGAGUGCAGUUGAGGCAGGCGGAAUUCGUGGUGUAGCGGUGAAAUGCUUAGAUAUCACGAAGAACUCCGAUUGCGAAGGCAGCCUGCUAAGCUGCAACUGACAUUGAGGCUCGAAAGUGUGGGUAUCAAACAGGAUUAGAUACCCUGGUAGUCCACACGGUAAACGAUGAAUACUCGCUGUUUGCGAUAUACAGCAAGCGGCCAAGCGAAAGCGUUAAGUAUUCCACCUGGGGAGUACGCCGGCAACGGUGAAACUCAAAGGAAUUGACGGGGGCCCGCACAAGCGGAGGAACAUGUGGUUUAAUUCGAUGAUACGCGAGGAACCUUACCCGGGCUUAAAUUGCAGAUGAAUUACGGUGAAAGCCGUAAGCCGCAAGGCAUCUGUGAAGGUGCUGCAUGGUUGUCGUCAGCUCGUGCCGUGAGGUGUCGGCUUAAGUGCCAUAACGAGCGCAACCCUUGUUGUCAGUUACUAACAGGUCAUGCUGAGGACUCUGACAAGACUGCCAUCGUAAGAUGUGAGGAAGGUGGGGAUGACGUCAAAUCAGCACGGCCCUUACGUCCGGGGCUACACACGUGUUACAAUGGGGGGUACAGAGGGCCGCUACCACGCGAGUGGAUGCCAAUCCCAAAAACCUCUCUCAGUUCGGACUGGAGUCUGCAACCCGACUCCACGAAGCUAGAUUCGCUAGUAAUCGCGCAUCAGCCACGGCGCGGUGAAUACGUUCCCGGGCCUUGUACACACCGCCCGUCAAGCCAUGGGAGCCGGGGGUACCUGAAGUGCGUAACCGCGAGGAGCGCCCUAGGGUAAAACUGGUGACUGGGGCUAAGUCAUAACAA